Molecule: ribosomal RNA, 488 nt
Filed under: uncultured bacterium
Lineage: Bacteria
Description: partial 16S ribosomal RNA
Rfam family: Bacterial small subunit ribosomal RNA
Source: RNAcentral
GACGAACGCUGGCGGCGUGCUUAACACAUGCAAGUCGAACGCGCCUGUCCUCUGGGUUUCUGGGGGGUGGGUGAGUGGCGAACGGGUGAGUAACACGUGAGUAACCUGCCCCCUUCUUCGGGAUAACGGUCUGAAAGGGCUGCUAAUACCGGGUAUUCACUGGUCUCCGCAUGGGGUCUGGUGGAAAGGUUUUUUUCUGGUGGGGGAUGGGCUCGCGGCCUAUCAGCUUGUUGGUGGGGUGAUGGCCCACCAAGGCUUUGACGGGUAGCCGGCCUGAGAGGGUGACCGGUCACAUUGGGACUGAGAUACGGCCCAGACUCAUACGGGAGGCAGCAGUGGGGAAUAUUGCACAAUGGGCGCAAGCCUGAUGCAGCGACGCCGCGUGAGGGAUGGAGGCCUUCGGGUUGUGAACCUCUUUCGCCCGUGGUCAAGCCGCGACGUGGGUCGUGGUGAGGGUAGUGGGUAAAGAAGCGCCGGCUAACUACGUG